Long non-coding RNA from Tarenaya hassleriana, 432 nucleotides. RefSeq lists it as uncharacterized. NCBI's taxonomy places the organism in Eukaryota, Viridiplantae, Streptophyta, Magnoliopsida, Brassicales, Cleomaceae. The transcript has 3 exons. The record is from RefSeq and is a predicted model, not a curated record.
UACUAUAUAUUUGUGUACGUAAUGAUAUUGUUUAUCCUCUCUCUAUCUUGAUCCAAGACUUAAAUCUCCGACAGCCACGACGAUCCUGUCUCAGAGAUUUGAAUAGCCAUUGACGAUGAUUUUGAAGGGUGAUUCAGAUAAAUAAUUAAAGGAGAAAAAUAAUAAUGGGAAAAGACAAGCAUCAUGAACAAGACAAGGGACUGUUUUCACAUCAUCACCAUCACCAUCAAGGAUAUCCGCCGGGAAACUAUCCUCCACCGCCGGGAAAUUAUCCUCCGCCGCCGCCGGGUGCAUACCCCGCCGGACCGUACGGUUAUCCUCCGGCCCCUCACGGCUAUCCCCCUCACGGUCCCUACCCUCCGGCCGGUUACCCCGGCCCUCACGCCCAUCCCGGGCAUGGAGGAGGAGUCGGGGGAAUGAUCGCAGGAGCUG